UUUAUGGAGAGUUUGAUCCUGGCUCAGGAUGAACGCUGGCGGCGUGCCUAAUACAUGCAAGUCGAGCGAACGGACGAGAAGCUUGCUUCUCUGAUGUUAGCGGCGGACGGGUGAGUAACACGUGGAUAACCUACCUAUAAGACUGGGAUAACUUCGGGAAACCGGAGCUAAUACCGGAUAAUAUUUUGAACCGCAUGGUUCAAAAGUGAAAG
Molecule: ribosomal RNA, 212 nt
Filed under: Staphylococcus aureus
Lineage: Bacteria; Bacillati; Bacillota; Bacilli; Caryophanales; Staphylococcaceae
Description: partial 16S ribosomal RNA
Rfam family: Bacterial small subunit ribosomal RNA
Source: RNAcentral